CGGGAACUCUAAGGAGACUGCCGUGUGAUAACCGGAGGAAGGUGGGGACGACGUCAAGUCAUCAUGGCCCUUACGGGAUGGGCUACACACGUGCUACAAUGGCGUAUACAGAGUGCUGCAAUACCGCGAGGUGGAGCGAAUCACACAAAGUACGUCGUAGUCCGGAUUGGAGUCUGCAACUCGACUCCAUGAAGUCGGAAUCGCUAGUAAUCGUAGAUCAGAAUGCUACGGUGAAUACGUUCCCGGGCCUUGUACACACCGCCCGUC
This 267-nucleotide ribosomal RNA is filed under the name uncultured Gammaproteobacteria bacterium. Its description in RNAcentral is "partial 16S ribosomal RNA". It matches the Rfam family "Bacterial small subunit ribosomal RNA", at positions 1132 to 1398 of the family's 1533-position model. Lineage: Bacteria; Pseudomonadati; Pseudomonadota; Gammaproteobacteria. The record is from RNAcentral.